UUGCACAGUGAGCACCCAAGUGUGUUUCAUAGUUUCCUUGGCUUUGAUUCUGUGCUUAGAGCAAUAUCUGUUCUUAUCCUCUGCAUUGAAAGGACUCUAUCCUUUAAAAUGUAUUCAGAAAGUCAGCACAUUU
Molecule: small nucleolar RNA, 133 nt
Organism: Manis pentadactyla (Chinese pangolin)
Lineage: Eukaryota; Metazoa; Chordata; Mammalia; Pholidota; Manidae
Product: small nucleolar RNA SNORA22
Exons: 1
Source: RefSeq, a predicted model, not a curated record